GGUGGCGUGGUGAAGUAGCUAACACUCCGGUCUGCAAAACCGGCACUCGUGGGUGCAAAUCCCACCGCCACCU
This 73-nucleotide transfer RNA is filed under the name bacterium. Its description in RNAcentral is "tRNA-Cys". It matches the Rfam family "tRNA". Rfam says of the family: Transfer RNA (tRNA) molecules are approximately 80 nucleotides in length. Their secondary structure includes four short double-helical elements and three loops (D, anti-codon, and T loops). The record is from RNAcentral.